UAUAUAUUGAUGUUCAGGGUAGGAGGGAGAUUCAGCUUUGCUGAGUCACUGAUGAGACACCUCCCUUCUUUAUAUGCAAGUCUAACUCCAUAAGCAUGGAGAACAAUGUCUGCUGGGCAGUUUAACUGGGGCGGUUCCCUGAGAAAGAGUAACUCAGGGGUACAAAGGUCACCUUGUUUCGGAUGGAAAUCGAAAUUAAAGCAUAAAGGUAUAUGGUGGCUUGACUGCGAGAGAUACAACUCGAGCAGGUGCGAAAGCAGGUCUUAGUGAUCCUCAGGUACCGCAUGGAAGGGCCUGAGCUUAACGGAUAAAAGGUACUCCGGGGAUAACAGAGUAAUAGCACCCAAUAGUUCGUAUUGCCGGUGCUGUUUGCUACCUCGAUGUCGGCUUGUCACAUCCUGGCGCUGGAGUCGGUGCCAAGGGUUGGACUGUUCGUCCAUUAAAGUGGCGCAUUAGCUGGGUUAAGAACGUCGUAAGACAGUUCGGUCUAUAUCUACAGCGGGCGUGGGCAGUUGAGGGAUACUUUCCCUAGUACGAGAGGACCGGGAUGGGUGAACCUCUGGUGUACCAGUUGUCGUACCAACGGCAUGGCUGGGUAGCUAUGUGCGGACGGGAUAAGCGCUGAAAGCAUAUUAAGCGCGAAGCCUCCCUCAAGAUUAGAUUUCCCUAUGACCUCCCUGAAAGACGAUCAGGUUGAUAGGCGCAAGGUGAAAGUGUAGUAAUAUAUUGAGCCGAAGCGUACUAAUAGAGGCAUUGACUUCUUGCA
This 766-nucleotide ribosomal RNA is filed under the name Candidatus Saccharimonadota bacterium. Its description in RNAcentral is "partial 23S ribosomal RNA". It matches the Rfam family "Bacterial large subunit ribosomal RNA", at positions 2125 to 2925 of the family's 2925-position model. The record is from RNAcentral. Lineage: Bacteria; Candidatus Saccharimonadota.